This 777-nucleotide ribosomal RNA is filed under the name uncultured bacterium. RNAcentral describes it as "bacterial SSU rRNA". It matches the Rfam family "Bacterial small subunit ribosomal RNA", at positions 100 to 878 of the family's 1533-position model. The record is from RNAcentral.
GCACGGGUGAGUAACGCGUAUCCAACCUGCCCACCACUUGGGGAUAACCUUGCGAAAGUAAGACUAAUACCCAAUGAUAUCUCUAGAAGACAUCUGAAAGAGAUUAAAGAUUUAUCGGUGAUGGAUGGGGGUGCGUCUGAUUAGCUUGUUGGCGGGGUAACGGCCCACCAAGGCGACGAUCAGUAGGGGUUCUGAGAGGAAGGUCCCCCACAUUGGAACUGAGACACGGUCCAAACUCCUACGGGAGGCAGCAGUGAGGAAUAUUGGUCAAUGGGCGAGAGCCUGAACCAGCCAAGUAGCGUGCAGGAUGACGGCCCUAUGGGUUGUAAACUGCUUUUAUAAGGGAAUAAAGUGAGUCUCGUGAGACUUUUUGCAUGUACCUUAUGAAUAAGGACCGGCUAAUUCCGUGCCAGCAGCCGCGGUAAUACGGAAGGUCCGGGCGUUAUCCGGAUUUAUUGGGUUUAAAGGGAGCGUAGGCCGGAGAUUAAGCGUGUUGUGAAAUGUAGAUGCUCAACAUCUGAACUGCAGCGCGAACUGGUUUCCUUGAGUACGCACAAAGUGGGCGGAAUUCGUGGUGUAGCGGUGAAAUGCUUAGAUAUCACGAAGAACUCCGAUUGCGAAGGCAGCUCACUGGAGCGCAACUGACGCUGAAGCUCGAAAGUGCGGGUAUCGAACAGGAUUAGAUACCCUGGUAGUCCGCACGGUAAACGAUGGAUGCCCGCUGUUGGUCUGAAUAGGUCAGCGGCCAAGCGAAAGCAUUAAGCAUCCCACCUGGGG